This 167-nucleotide non-coding RNA is filed under the name human gut metagenome. The record is from RNAcentral.
CUUAAUGUCUGCUAAGAGGGAAGCAGGUGGAAGGCCUGAACGAACCCGUCGCUGUAUAGGAAUAGUCCGUCCAACGCUUGUGCCGUGUAAAAGUCACUGGGUUAUUUUCCCGGGAAGACGUGGAUGGGUGCCAUGUCCUGAGUCAGAAGACCUACCCUAUGUAAAUA